AGAGCGUAUGGUGGAUGCCUUGGCACUAAGAGCCGAUGAAAGACGUGAUAAGCUGCGAAAAGCUUCGGGGAGGAGCAAAUAUCCUUUGAUCCGGAGAUUUCUGAAUGGGGAAACCUACUUGAGCAAACCUCAAGUAUCCUUAAGCCAAUACAUAACUUAAGGAAGGGAACCCGGUGAACUGAAACAUCUAAGUAGCCGGAGGAAGAGAAAACAACAUGUGAUUCUGUGAGUAGCGGCGAGCGAAAACGGAAGAGCCCAAACCAGCGUGCGUGCAUGCUGGGGUUCGGACCGCGGAAUUGAUUCAACGAGUUUAGCAGAACGGUUUUGGGAAAGCCGGCCAGAGAGGGUGAAAGCCCCGUAAGCGAAAGACGAGUUGACAUGGCGGGAUCCAGAGUACCACGAGACACGUGGAACCUUGUGGGAAGAUGCGGGGACCACCCCGUAAGGCUAAAUACUACUUAGUGACCGAUAGCGCAUAGUACUGUGAAGGAAAGGUGAAAAGGACCCCGGGAGGGGAGUGAAAAAGAACCUGAAACCAUAUGUUUACAAGCUGUGGAAGAGCUUUAUAUGCUCAACCGCGUACUUUUUGUAGAACGGUCCGGCGAGUUACGCUGGCUGGCGAGGUUAAGGACUAAAGGUCCGGAGCCGAAGGGAAACCAAGUCUGAAUAGGGCGCAUAGUCAGUCGGAGUAGACCCGAAACCGGGUGAUCUAUCCAUGUCCAGGUUGAAGUUGCCGUAAAAGGCAAUGGAGGACCGAACCCACAUCCGUUGAAAAGGGUGGGGAUGAGGUGUGGAUAGGGGAGAAAUUCCAAUCGAACCCGGAGAUAGCUGGUUCUCCUCGAAAUAGCUUUAGGGCUAGCCUCAUACGAGUCUUGCGGAGGUAGAGCACUGAAUUCCUAAGGGGGCGUCAAAGCUUACUAAGGGAUAUCAAACUCCGAAUGCCGUGUAGAUGAUGUAUGGGAGUCAGACGAUCCGAGAUAAGUUGGGUGGUCAAAAGGGAAAGAGCCCAGACCAACAGCUAAGGCCCCAAAAUGUGUGUUAAGUGGAAAAGGAUGUGGGAUUUCGAAGACAACUAGGAUGUUGGCUCAGAAGCAGCCAUUCAUUCAAAGAGUGCGUAAUAGCUCACUAGUCGAGAGGUCCUGCGCCGAAAAUGUCCGGGGCUAAAACACACUGCCGAAGCUUUGGAAUUGAGAAUUCAAUUGGUAGAGGAGCAUUCUUAAAGGGACGAAGCAGUACCGAAAGGAGCUGUGGACUUUUAAGAAGAGAGAAUGCCGGAAUGAGUAGCGAGAGGAAGGUGGGAAUCCUUCCGGCCGAAUAUCUAAGGUUUCCAGAGUAAAGCUGAUCUGCUCUGGGUAAGUCGGGGCCUAAGGCGAGGUCGAAAGACGUAGUCGAUGGAUAACAGGUUGAAAUUCCUGUACUAUCCUGUAACAGAACUGUGGGGACACAGGCAGAGAGCGUGAGCCGGGAAUGGAAAGACCGGUACAAGCGAGGUAGGAGAAGAGUUGGCAAAUCCGCUCUUUAAUCUGAAGACGUGAUGUGGACUGAAAAUAAGUAGGGAAGCACGUGAGCUGACUGUCAAGAAAAGCCGCUAUUGUUUGCAGGAUACCCGUACCGUAAACCGACACAGGUGGAUGAGGAGAGAAUCCUAAGGCCGACGGGAGAAGCAUUGUUAAGGAACUCGGCAAAAUGACUCCGUAACUUCGGGAGAAGGAGUGCCAGUAAGAUGGCCGCAGAGAAUUGGCCCAAGCAACUGUUUAGCAAAAACACAGGUCUAUGCAAAACCGAAAGGUGAGGUAUAUGGGCUGACGCCUGCCCGGUGCUGGAAGGUUAAGGGGAGAGGUUAGCGCAAGCGAAGCUUUGAACUUAAGCCCCAGUAAACGGCGGCCGUAACUAUAACGGUCCUAAGGUAGCGAAAUUCCUUGUCGGGUAAGUUCCGACCCGCACGAAAGGCGUAAUGAUUUGGGCACUGUCUCAACAAUGCACCCGGUGAAAUUGAAAUACCAGUGAAGAUGCUGGUUACCUGCGCCAGGACGGAAAGACCCCAUGGAGCUUUACUCCAGCUUGAUACUGGGAUUCGGUAUUGCAUGUACAGGAUAGGUGGGAGGCUAGGAAAUGGUAACGCCAGUUGCCAUGGAGCCGCUGUUGGGAUACCACCCUUGCAGUACUGGGUUUCUAACCAGCAGCCGUGAUCCGGCUGGGGGACAAUGUCAGGUGGGGAGUUUGACUGGGGCGGUCGCCUCCGAAAGGGUAUCGGAGGCGCUCAAAGGUUCCCUCAGAAUGGUUGGAAACCAUU
Molecule: ribosomal RNA, 2293 nt
Filed under: Mediterraneibacter torques
Lineage: Bacteria; Bacillati; Bacillota; Clostridia; Lachnospirales; Lachnospiraceae
Description: bacterial LSU rRNA
Rfam family: Bacterial large subunit ribosomal RNA
Source: RNAcentral